GAAAAGGCCACGUGAGGACACAGCAAGAAAGUGGUCAUCUGCAAGCGCAAAAGACAGGCCUCAGAAGAACCCAACCCUAUUGACACUAUGAUCUUGGACAUCCAGCCUCCAGAACUGCCGUUAACAAACCAUCUGUAUGCCUAAUAUUGAUGCUGUCUUUCCCUAGUGUACUGGACAACCUAAGACAGGGAAAUAAAGAUAAAGUUUGGAUUGAAGAGUGAGGU
Molecule: long non-coding RNA, 224 nt
Filed under: Homo sapiens (human)
Lineage: Eukaryota; Metazoa; Chordata; Mammalia; Primates; Hominidae
Description: non-protein coding LINC01592:7
Source: RNAcentral